RNAcentral lists this ribosomal RNA (432 nucleotides) under uncultured bacterium. RNAcentral describes it as "partial 16S ribosomal RNA". It matches the Rfam family "Bacterial small subunit ribosomal RNA", at positions 29 to 507 of the family's 1533-position model. The record is from RNAcentral.
ACGAACGCUGGCGGUAUGCCUAACACAUGCAAGUCGAACGAAGGCUUCGGCCUUAGUGGCGCACGGGUGCGUAACGCGUGGGAAUCUGCCCUUUGGUUCGGAAUAACAGCUGGAAACGGCUGCUAAUACCGGAUGAUGACGAAAGUCCAAAGAUUUAUCGCCAGAGGAUGAGCCCGCGUUGGAUUAGGUAGUUGGUGGGGUAAAGGCCUACCAAGCCGACGAUCCAUAGCUGGUCUGAGAGGAUGAUCAGCCACACUGGGACUGAGACACGGCCCAGACUCCUACGGGAGGCAGCAGUGGGGAAUAUUGGACAAUGGGCGCAAGCCUGAUCCAGCAAUGCCGCGUGAGUGAUGAAGGCCCUAGGGUUGUAAAGCUCUUUUACCCGGGAAGAUAAUGACUGUACCGGGAGAAUAAGCCCCGGCUAACUCCGUG